UGAAAUAGGCUUUCAAGUAAAGUGAUGGAACACAAUCCCUGGAGACAUUCUAAAUAAAGGAACAAUGGACUAGAAAGUGUUUUGCAGCGAGGAAUUCUGCAUUGAUGACUGGAGCUAGAAGGGGGCAGGGAAAUGGGACGAUGACCAGAUGUGGCCCAUGGCAAGGCCGUGCAUUGUGAAGGGAGGAGGAGGGUCUGAGAUCCGGGAGCCCUGCAGAGAGUUUGCUGAAGAGUGAAGAAAGGACGGCGUUAGUAAUGGGAUGAGGGAUACUGGAGUCCGAAUUAACAUAGCACACAGAGAGAUAUUCAGGAAAAUACAUCAUAUCUUGCACUUGGGUGGAAAAGAGCAGAAAUCCUUGGUUAACAGGAUUAUACGCAAUGGUGCAGAAAGCAUUCUCUAAAGAAAAAUCAGAGAGGAAGAAACACUGCAUGGAGAAUCCAAGAAACACUCUAAGAAUUGAAGUUAAAAUGUCGGAGGAGGCCUCGUAUGUCUUCUUCUAGGAGGACUCUCAGCUGAUGUUGGUUUUUUUAGUCUGUAUGAGCGAUGGACAAGCUGUCACUACCCAUUAGAUUUUGGGUGGUCCCAGGGGACCAUCCCAAGUUUGAGGAAAGUUGGCAAUGGAAAAAGGAGCAUCUGAUAGGAGCAGUCAGUGAAGUCCUUGGGUGGCCUCCCUCACCUUGACAGUGUGAAUUAACAGCUUAUCUUCAUGGACAUGGGACAAGAGGAGACUGGAAAUCAUCUCCCACACCACCCUCUCCAAGACAAAUUCAUAUUUAACUUCUACUUCUGCUCUGUUGACUUUAUCCUAUGUAAAGUACAGAUUUACUGAGCACGAGACAAAUGCAUAACUGACUAUUUCUUUACCCUCUCCUUUUCACAUGCAAUAUGCAGAUUCAG
This 897-nucleotide long non-coding RNA is filed under the name Homo sapiens (human). RNAcentral's name for it is "HSALNT0299060". The record is from RNAcentral. Lineage: Eukaryota; Metazoa; Chordata; Mammalia; Primates; Hominidae.